CACACGAUAACACGAAGUCACGAACCCUAGGCGGUGCAGGCUCCUGUGCGGCGUAGCCACGCAGGCCGCAGCGGCGCCUCCCCCUCGGCCACGACCUGCCUGACUGCCCCCAACCCCCUCGGCCCUCGAGGAGUCGCGGCCUCGCUGCUGCUAGGACUACGGCCGCCGAGGCGCGGACUGCAGAUCUCGCGGUCAGCGGCUCAGCGUCCUGCUGCUGCCCCUUCUCGCGGAGCAUCAGAAGUUGGGGUUGUUCAUGCAGGUGCUGCUGAACCAAGGGCUCAGAUGGUGGGAUGGCCGCCUGUCCGCAGCUAUCGCAAGAAUACCAUGGCGACCAGCCAGGGAAAGAGAAGCAAGGAGGAAGCUGAUGCCAAACAGAGGCAGGGGUUUAUUCAGAAGCAUGAUUGUACAACACAAGCAUGUGUCAUGUGUGUUACUGUGUUAGUCAUCAUUUUAUUCAGAAGCAUGAUGCAUGUUUCAGAGAGCUAGUUAUGGUGCUAGUUAUUUGGAUUACUGUGUUAAGCAUUA
This is a long non-coding RNA of Phragmites australis (common reed), 525 nucleotides long. RefSeq lists it as uncharacterized. The transcript has 2 exons. The record is from RefSeq and is a predicted model, not a curated record. Lineage: Eukaryota; Viridiplantae; Streptophyta; Magnoliopsida; Poales; Poaceae.